GACGAACGCUGGCGGCGCGCCUAACACAUGCAAGUCGAACGGGAUCUUUUAGAGAGCUUGCUCUCUGGCUGAUCUAGUGGCGGACGGGUGAGUAACACGUGAGCAACCUGCCCUGGAGUGGGGGAUAACGUCUGGAAACGGACGCUAAUACCGCAUAACAUCAUUGAGCGGCAUCGCUUGGUGAUCAAAGGAGAAAUCCGCUUUGGGAUGGGCUCGCGCCCGAUUAGGUAGUUGGUGGGGUAAAGGCCUACCAAGCCAACGAUCGGUAGCCGGACUGAGAGGUUGAACGGCCACAUUGGGACUGAGACACGACCCAGACUCCUACGGGAGGCAGCAGUGGGGGAUAUUGCACAAUGGGGGAAAGCCUGAUCCAGCCAUGCCGCAUGAGUGAAGAAGGCCUUUGGGUUGUAAAGCUCUUUUAGUGAGGAAGAUAAUGACGGUACUCACAGAAGAAGUCCUGGCUAACUCCGUGCCAGCCGCCGCAGUAAGAC
Molecule: ribosomal RNA, 491 nt
Filed under: uncultured bacterium
Lineage: Bacteria
Description: partial 16S ribosomal RNA
Rfam family: Bacterial small subunit ribosomal RNA
Source: RNAcentral